CCUCUUGUCACAAAUUGGUUCUGGGGCCCAGGCAGUGGGAGUGACAGUUCUGAGAGACUCCUGGAGAGCCGUGCUCCAUCCUAGCCUCCCACACACCCAGUUGGACCCUGCAUCAGCCUGGCUCCUGCCAUGAAUGGCGGCCUCCUGUGCUGUGUGGCCUUGUGUCUCCUCCAUACAGGUCUGGGGAGGGCCGGCAUCACUCAGACCCCAACAUUCCAGGUCCUGACAACAGGACAGAAGGUGACAUUGAGGUGUACCCAGGACUUGAACCACAACAUUAUGUACUGGUACAGACAGGACCUAGGUCAUGGGCUGAGGCUGAUCCAUAACUCAGUGGGUGUUGGGAUAACUGACAAAGGAGAAGUCCCUGAUGGGUACAGUGUCAGUAGAUCCAAAAAAGAGGAUUUCCCACUCACGCUGGAGGCGGCCACCCCCUCCCAGACGUCUGUGUACUUCUGUGCCAGCAGUGAGUCCACAGUGCUGCACAGCUGCCUCCUCCCUGCACAGAAAGUCAGGGGGAGGCCCAGCACCUGGACUCAGGGAGCCCUGUGCACACUCCUACACCUUGGAGCCCCUGGUGGCUGCUGCCUGUAGGGUGACCCUCUGUGUAUGCUGGGGUCACCCUCUAGGGCAGUGUCUGCCAGGCAGGGACCAAACCCAGGGCCUUGGACACACAGGUGUCCACCUUUGCUGUCUGUCUCUGUGUCCUCUGCAGCUGGUCCUUUAGCUGGUCCCCAGCUCUUGCUUUUCUU
Molecule: non-coding RNA, 752 nt
Organism: Artibeus jamaicensis (Jamaican fruit-eating bat)
Lineage: Eukaryota; Metazoa; Chordata; Mammalia; Chiroptera; Phyllostomidae
Source: the annotation of a RefSeq genome assembly